UACAGAGGUCCCAAGCGUUGUUCGGAUUCACUGGGCGUAAAGGGUGCGUAGGUGGUUGAAUAAGUUUGAUGUGAAAUCUCCGAGCUUAACUCGGAAACUGCAUUGAAUACUGUUUGACUAGAGGAUUGGAGGGGGGACUGGAAUUCUCGGUGUAGCAGUGAAAUGCGUAGAUAUCGAGAGGAACACCAGUGGCGAAGGCGAGUCCCUGGACAGCUCCUGACGCUGAGGCACGAAAGCUAGGGGAGCAAACAGG
This 253-nucleotide ribosomal RNA is filed under the name uncultured bacterium. RNAcentral's name for it is "partial 16S ribosomal RNA". It matches the Rfam family "Bacterial small subunit ribosomal RNA", at positions 524 to 776 of the family's 1533-position model. The record is from RNAcentral.